GAUAAGGUGGCUGAAAAUUAGGCAGUAAAUUGUAAAUUUACUUAUGGUUAAUUAAACCUCUUGUCA
This 66-nucleotide transfer RNA is filed under the name Carcinocoris binghami. RNAcentral's name for it is "tRNA-Tyr". The record is from RNAcentral. Lineage: Eukaryota; Metazoa; Arthropoda; Insecta; Hemiptera; Phymatidae.